This 793-nucleotide ribosomal RNA is filed under the name uncultured bacterium. Its description in RNAcentral is "bacterial SSU rRNA". It matches the Rfam family "Bacterial small subunit ribosomal RNA", at positions 102 to 916 of the family's 1533-position model. The record is from RNAcentral.
ACGGGUGAGUAACACGUGACCAACCUGCCCCGCGCACCGGGACAGCCUCGCGAAAGCGGGAUUAAUACCGGAUGAACCGGCAGGGCCGCAUGGCCCGGCCGGCAAAGCUCCGGCGGCGCGGGAUGGGGUCGCGGCCCAUCAGGUAGUAGGUCGGGUAGAGGCCGACCUAGCCGACGACGGGUAGCCGGGUUGAGAGACCGACCGGCCACAUUGGGACUGAGAUACGGCCCAGACUCCUACGGGAGGCAGCAGUGGGGAAUAUUGCGCAAUGGGGGCAACCCUGACGCAGCAACGCCGCGUGCGGGAUGACGGCCUUCGGGUUGUAAACCGCUUUCAGCAGGGAAGACAUCGACGGUACCUGCAGAAGAAGCCCCGGCUAACUACGUGCCAGCAGCCGCGGUAACACGUAGGGGGCGAGCGUUAUCCGGAUUCAUUGGGCGUAAAGCGCGCGCAGGCGGCCCGCCAAGCGGGACCUCUAACCCCGGGGCUCAACCCCGGGCCGGGUCCCGAACUGGCGGGCUCGCUCCAGGUAGGGGCAGGCGGAAUUCCCGGUGUAGCGGUGGAAUGCGCAGAUAUCGGGAAGAACACCGACGGCGAAGGCAGCCUGCUGGGCCUGUGAGGACGCUGAGGCGCGAAAGCCGGGGGAGCGAACAGGAUUAGAUACCCUGGUAGUCCCGGCCGUAAACGAUGCUAGCUAGGUGUGGGGGGAUCAUCCCCCCGUGCCGCAGCCAACGCAUUAAGCUAGCCGCCUGGGGAGUACGGCCGCAAGGCUAAAACUCAAAGGAAUUGACGG